GGUUGUGGCUCAGUGGAAGAGUGCUCGCCUAGCAUGUGUGAGGCACUGGGUUCAAUCCUCAACACCA
Molecule: transfer RNA, 67 nt
Filed under: Marmota monax (woodchuck)
Lineage: Eukaryota; Metazoa; Chordata; Mammalia; Rodentia; Sciuridae
Description: tRNA.Ala
Source: RNAcentral